AGUUCUGGGGUGUAACACGUUGGAUUGCAAAUCCAAAGACGCAGGUUAGCCGCCCGCCGGGGCUU
RNAcentral lists this transfer RNA (65 nucleotides) under Chaca bankanensis (angler catfish). RNAcentral describes it as "tRNA-Cys". It matches the Rfam family "tRNA". Rfam says of the family: Transfer RNA (tRNA) molecules are approximately 80 nucleotides in length. Their secondary structure includes four short double-helical elements and three loops (D, anti-codon, and T loops). The record is from RNAcentral. Lineage: Eukaryota; Metazoa; Chordata; Actinopteri; Siluriformes; Chacidae.